This 200-nucleotide small nuclear RNA is filed under the name Cryptosporidium parvum. Lineage: Eukaryota; Apicomplexa; Conoidasida; Eucoccidiorida; Cryptosporidiidae. The record is from RNAcentral.
AAUAGAGAGAAGAAACAAGGGGAUUUAGGGAUUUUAAGGGAAAAUUGAAGAUUUGCUUUCUUAUUGAGGGAUGAUGAUUGUUCAUUCACCCAUAGCCUGUAAACUCAAACGUGUAUUUGCACAUGCGUGUAGAUACAGCUACGUUUGAACCCUUGAUGACAACUUUUCAUGCAUCACCAACUGACCUCAAUAUAGCUCUU